This 363-nucleotide ribosomal RNA is filed under the name uncultured eukaryote. RNAcentral describes it as "partial 18S ribosomal RNA". It matches the Rfam family "Eukaryotic small subunit ribosomal RNA", at positions 592 to 976 of the family's 1831-position model. The record is from RNAcentral.
CAAUAGCGUAUACUAAUGUUGUUGCAGUUAAAAAGCUCGUAGUUGAACUUCUGGUAGGAGUGUCCCGGCCUUUUUGUUUUUACAAAUUGUAUGCUGUGUGACAUCUCUGGCCAUCCUUCUUCUUUGUUUAAAGAAGAUCUUUCACUGUAAAAAAAUUAGGGUGUUCAAAGCAAAAGUUUCUUUGGAAUAUAUUAGUAUGGGAUGAUAAGAUAGGCUCUAGAUGCUAUUUUGUUGGUUUGCACAUUUAGAGAAUGAUUAACAGGGACAGUUGGGGGUAUUCGUAUUUACAUGUCAGAGGUGAAAUUCUUGGAUUUUGGAGAGACGAACUACUGCGAAAGCAUUUACCAAGGAUGUUUUCAUUAA